Long non-coding RNA from Capsicum annuum, 968 nucleotides. RefSeq lists it as uncharacterized. The record is from RefSeq and is a predicted model, not a curated record. Lineage: Eukaryota; Viridiplantae; Streptophyta; Magnoliopsida; Solanales; Solanaceae. The transcript is spliced from 2 exons.
CGUCGUUAUCUCUCUGAAUCCUUCUACCGCAUAUUCUCCUUCAAUAUUUUCGAACUAACAAACGGGAGAGAUUGUAUCCUAAGUAUCUUCUUUACAUAUUUAUUGUUUUUUGAUCUCAAGCUUCAGGAAGUGCAUAAUAGUAAAAAUGUAGGUGAACUUAUACAUCCAAUAUAAGAUUUCACUAGGCAUGAGCUGGUGUUUCCUAUGUAAGUAGGCGGGUGAGCACAUGGACCAUAUUUCAUCACAUUGCAAAUUAGCUACAAGGUUAAAAAAAAUAAAACGAGCCUGUAUGGAAUUAGUGUGAAAGUACUUUUUUGUGGCUGAAUAUUGUGGAGAUUGUUAAGAGUGGUGAUGAUCUUCAGUUUUCUGUUGGUAUUGUUUUCGUUAGUUUUCCAUUUGAUAAUUUUUUGAUUUGUCCGCAAUGUGGAUGUGGAUUGAAUAGUAAUAGCAAUGGAGAAAUUUUGAAGAUUUGAAACAGUCAUCUUGUGUCUUCUGCUUAGCUGCAUACAAAGGGUGAUGUAGUUUGGUGAUGGAGUUUCCUGAAUGAGGUGACGUUGUUGCAGUUGACAGAAAGCCUAAAGUGGUCAUUCUCCUGCUUCCUCCUCAUCUGAGUAGCAACGCAAAGCUUUAAGAGCCUAUUCAUCAGUUGGAGGCUAUAUUGCUUAGACUCUUCAAGAAUGUCAAUGGGUGCGUAUUGGAUUCUUCAAAAGUAGUACAUCUAAAGUAAAGAUAUCAACUUUGGACCUAACGACACUAUAGCAGUGGUAUACAACUUUGGACCUAACAGCUGGCGUAGUAACAUUUCGGAAUGAAGGAUUAUAAGUGUAUUCAAAAUUUGUAUUAUUGUAUGAAGAAAAAAUAUCCUAAAUAUAAAAGAUUGUAUGUAAUGCAAUACAUGUCCAGAUCUUUGUACUUCUUGUGAUACCAUUUUGUAACUAUUUAUCAAUAAAACUUACAUGUUUGGUGCA